This 117-nucleotide ribosomal RNA is filed under the name uncultured bacterium. RNAcentral describes it as "partial 16S ribosomal RNA". It matches the Rfam family "Bacterial small subunit ribosomal RNA", at positions 1367 to 1482 of the family's 1533-position model. The record is from RNAcentral.
UACGUUCCCGGGUCUUGUACACACCGCCCGUCACACCACGAAAGUCGGUAAUACCCGAAGCCGGUGGCCUAACCUUUUAGGAGGGAGCCGUCGAAGGUAGGAUCGAUGAUUGGGGUG